UGACAUGAUGUCAAAAAGUCUGUAUGGCAAGCCUGGUUGUACCUGCUUAAGUGGACAAACAGGGUCCAAGGAUGAAGGGCUGGAUGAAGAAAGAAGGCUGGGUCAUCUGGGACUGGUCUACUUUGUGUUCCAAGAGUCAGAACUAAACAUGGAGAAGGAGCGUUCAGUUUUUCUGCACCACAUACCUGGAACAAGGGCUCUGGAACUGCCAGUCUGCUGUGAACAAGGCAGACUUCACCCCGGCGUUCGCAUCCCAUGCUUCUCUUCAUGCCCUUGCGCUGACAGAGACAUGGAUUCGCCCAGAGCAGCAACUCCAGCUGCUCUCUCCGUCAACCACUCGUUCUCUCACUCACCCCGCUCAACUGGGCGAGGUGGUGGGACAGGUUUGCUUCUUUCCCUACAUAUUAAAUACACAUCCACCCCACUCUCUGUCACCGCCAAAUCAUUUGAA
Osmerus eperlanus (European smelt) is the source of this 451-nucleotide long non-coding RNA. RefSeq lists it as uncharacterized. The record is from RefSeq and is a predicted model, not a curated record. The transcript has 3 exons. NCBI's taxonomy places the organism in Eukaryota, Metazoa, Chordata, Actinopteri, Osmeriformes, Osmeridae.